GACAGAGGGUGCAAACGUUGUUCGGAAUUACUGGGCGUAAAGCGAGUGUAGGCGGUUUGGUAAGUCGGAUGUGAAAGCCCCGGGCUCAACCCGGGAAGUGCACUCGAUACUGCCAAGCUAGAGUAUCGGAGAGGUUGGUGGAAUUCUCGGUGUAGAGGUGAAAUUCGUAGAAAUCGAGAGGAACACCUGUGGCGAAGGCGGCCGUCUGGGCCGACCCUGACGCUGAGGCGCGAAGGCGUGGGGAGCGAACGGG
Molecule: ribosomal RNA, 253 nt
Filed under: uncultured bacterium
Lineage: Bacteria
Description: partial 16S ribosomal RNA
Rfam family: Bacterial small subunit ribosomal RNA
Source: RNAcentral